RNAcentral lists this long non-coding RNA (390 nucleotides) under Helianthus annuus (common sunflower). RNAcentral describes it as "sRNA HanXRQr2_Chr16g0765411". Lineage: Eukaryota; Viridiplantae; Streptophyta; Magnoliopsida; Asterales; Asteraceae. The record is from RNAcentral.
ACCUAAAUCUAUAAACAGAAACCUUAACAAACUAACCUAGCGUCUCAAUCCUUCUAGUUUCCCCCAAACAACAGAUUACUAACACCUUCAAACAGAUCUAUGUCCUUCCUUCCAAAGCUCACAUCGAAAUUAAGGAGAGAGAAAGUGAAAGUGAAAGAGGUGAAGAUUAUUGUUACCGAUUGAAGUAGAUCAAAGCUUAAACUGGUGUGUUGUUUGUUUCUCUCUCUAAAAGUCGCAAUCGGCUUCGUUGUUGAGUUGGAUUGGUUUAUGCAACAGUUAAUGGGGUCGGUGUAGCCAAUUGCUUCAGUUGCAGAAUAUCUUCUUGUUGGAUGAAUUUGAGAGGAAAGAAACAGGUAAAGGUUUUCGACUAUUCAAGCAUGCAACGCAUAG